This 391-nucleotide ribosomal RNA is filed under the name Chrysophyceae sp. Its description in RNAcentral is "partial small subunit ribosomal RNA". It matches the Rfam family "Eukaryotic small subunit ribosomal RNA", at positions 582 to 975 of the family's 1831-position model. Lineage: Eukaryota; Chrysophyceae. The record is from RNAcentral.
AUUCCAGCUCCAAUAGCGUAUACUAAAGUUGUUGCAGUUAAAAAGCUCGUAGUUGAAUUUCUGGAUGCGAAAGAUGGUCGGCACCUCACGGUGUCUGUACUUUUCAUUCGCGUCCAUCCUCGGGAGGAACGUGUGGGGCUUUAAGUAGUUCUGCUCGGGAAUCUCGUCAUUUACUGUGAGCAAAAUAGAGUGUUCAAAGCAGGCUUAUGCCGUUGAAUAUAUUAGCAUGGAAUAAUAAGAUACGACUUUGGUCUAUUUUGUUGGUUUGCAUUCCAAAGUAAUGAUUAAUAGGGAUAGUUGGGGGUAUUCGUAUUCAAUUGUCAGAGGUGAAAUUCUUGGAUUUAUGGAAGACGAACUACUGCGAAAGCAUUUACCAAGGAUGUUUUCAUUA